CAGGCCUAACACAUGCAAGUCGAGCGGAAACGGCAGUAUUGAAACUUCGGUGGAUUUACUGGACGUCGAGCGGCGGACGGGUGAGUAACGGCUGGGAACCUGCCCUGACGAGGGGGAUAACCGUUGGAAAUGACGGCUAAUACCGCAUAAUGUCUUGAUUCGUUAGAGUCAGGACCAAAGGUGGCCUCUACAUGUAAGCUAUCGCGUUGGGAUGGGCCCAGUUAGGAUUAGCUAGUUGGUAAGGUAAUGGCUUACCAAGGCAACGAUCCUUAGCUGGUUUGAGAGGAUGAUCAGCCACACUGGGACUGAGACACGGCCCAGACUCCUACGGGAGGCAGCAGUGGGGAAUAUUGCACAAUGGGGGAGACCCUGAUGCAGCCAUGCCGCGUGUGUGAAGAAGGCCUUCGGGUUGUAAAGCACUUUCAGCAGUGAGGAAGGUCGUGUACUUAAUACGUGCACGGCUUGACGUUAGCUGCAGAAGAAGCACCGGCUAACUCCGUGCCAGCAGCCGCGGUAAUACGGAGGGUGCGAGCGUUAAUCGGAAUUACUGGGCGUAAAGCGCAUGCAGGCGGUUUGUUAAGUCAGAUGUGAAAGCCCGGGGCUCAACCUCGGAACCGCAUUUGAAACUGGCAGGCUAGAGUCUUGUAGA
Molecule: ribosomal RNA, 649 nt
Filed under: uncultured bacterium
Lineage: Bacteria
Description: bacterial SSU rRNA
Rfam family: Bacterial small subunit ribosomal RNA
Source: RNAcentral